AGAGUUUGAUCCUGGCUCAGGACGAACGCUGGCGGCGUGCCUAAUACAUGCAAGUCGAGCGGACUUUUUGGGAGCUUGCUUCCGGAAAGUCAGCGGCGAACGGGUGAGUAACACGUGGGUAACCUGCCUGCAAGACCGGGAUAACUUCGGGAAACCGGAGCUAAUACCGGAUGAUCUCCUUUUCCGCAUGGAGAAGGACUGAAAGGACGGCGCAAGCUGUCGCUUGCAGAUGGGCCCGCGGCGCAUUAGCCAGUUGGUGAGGUAACGGCUCACCAAGGCGACGAUGCGUAGCCGACCUGAGUGGGUGAUCGGCCACACUGGGACUGAGACACGGCCCAGACUCCUACGGGAGGCAGCAGUAGGGAAUCUUCCGCAAUGGACGAAAGUCUGACGGAGCAACGCCGCGUGAGUGAUGAAGGCCUUCGGGUCGUAAAGCUCUGUUGUCAGGGAAGAACAAGUGCGGGAGUAACUGCCCGCACCUUGACGGUACCUGACCAGAAAGCCACGGCUAACUACGUGCCAGCAGCCGCGGUAAU
This 536-nucleotide ribosomal RNA is filed under the name uncultured bacterium. RNAcentral's name for it is "bacterial SSU rRNA". It matches the Rfam family "Bacterial small subunit ribosomal RNA", at positions 8 to 524 of the family's 1533-position model. The record is from RNAcentral.